UACGUAGGGUGCAAGCGUUGUCCGGAAUUACUGGGCGUAAAGAGUUCGUAGGCGGUUUGUCGCGUCGUUCGUGAAAACUUGGGGCUUAACUCCAAGCGUGCGGGCGAUACGGGCAGACUUGAGUACUACAGGGGAGACUGGAAUUCCUGGUGUAGCGGUGGAAAUGCGCAGAUAUCAGGAGGAACACCGGUAGUCGGAGGCGGGAAUCGCCGUGGUGUGGAAACCGUACCUGGGACGUAAGGAGAAAC
This 248-nucleotide ribosomal RNA is filed under the name uncultured bacterium. RNAcentral's name for it is "partial 16S ribosomal RNA". It matches the Rfam family "Bacterial small subunit ribosomal RNA", at positions 524 to 769 of the family's 1533-position model. The record is from RNAcentral.